UCUGAGAAUCUUUAAGAACAUACGUCGAGGCGCCAACGGAACACGGUAAAAACCGUGGCGGUCCCGCCGCCGUAACCGGAGACGAAACGUGCAAAACCACUGUCCGGCUUCAGCCGAAUGGGAAGGGCACGUGGAGAGAGACCCGGAAGCCGGAAGACGAGCGCUCCGACGAGGGUAACC
Molecule: non-coding RNA, 180 nt
Filed under: Desulfomonile tiedjei
Lineage: Bacteria; Pseudomonadati; Thermodesulfobacteriota; Desulfomonilia; Desulfomonilales; Desulfomonilaceae
Source: RNAcentral